UGGUGGUUCGUGAUGCCAAGCACAUGA
RNAcentral lists this non-coding RNA (27 nucleotides) under Homo sapiens (human). The record is from RNAcentral. Lineage: Eukaryota; Metazoa; Chordata; Mammalia; Primates; Hominidae.